This 426-nucleotide ribosomal RNA is filed under the name uncultured bacterium. RNAcentral describes it as "bacterial SSU rRNA". It matches the Rfam family "Bacterial small subunit ribosomal RNA", at positions 78 to 518 of the family's 1533-position model. The record is from RNAcentral.
AACGGAAUGCUUGGAUAGCGGCGGACGGGUGAGUAACGCGUAGGUAACCUGCCCUUCACACAGGGAUAGCCUCGGGAAACCGGGAUUAAUACCUGAUAAUGCGAUCGGAUCACAUGGUUUGAUCGCCAAAGAUUUAUCGGUGAAGGAUGGACCUGCGUCUGAUUAGCUGGUUGGUGAGGUAACGGCCCACCAAGGCAACGAUCAGUAGCCGACCUGAGAGGGUAAUCGGCCACAUUGGAACUGAGACACGGUCCAAGCUCCUACGGGAGGCAGCAGUGGGGAAUAUUGCACAAUGGGCGCAAGCCUGAAUGCAGCAACGCCGCGUGAGUCGAAGAAGGUCUUCGGAUCGUAAAGCUCUGUCCUGAGGAACGAAGAAGUGACGGUACCUCGGGAGGAAGCCCCGGCUAACUACGUGCCAGCCGCCGC